This 697-nucleotide long non-coding RNA is filed under the name Gossypium raimondii (Peruvian cotton). RNAcentral describes it as "long non-coding RNA (GRAI_LNC001457)". The record is from RNAcentral. Lineage: Eukaryota; Viridiplantae; Streptophyta; Magnoliopsida; Malvales; Malvaceae.
AGGGAAUAUAUUGACCUAAGCAAACCUUGUAUUCAUCAAGCUAAGGCAGAAGAUAUCUAUGGAUUAAUUUCAACCCCAUAGUGUGGCAUUGAAAGGGUUCUGAGCAUGUUAACAGACUGAUUUGAUUAUUGAUGCAAGAACGAAAAUGAUAAGAAUCGGGUUGAAAAACAGGUAGUAUAAUCCAUGAACAAGCAACAGAAUGUGAAUCCCAUGCUGCGAAAUGUAAUAAGACCAUGUUUUUGCAUGGGAUAAGCAAACCAGAUAGCAUACAUAAACCUUAAGACACAACAUUGCAACAAAGGAUAAUCAUCUAGGCCUAUUGAACAGAGGUUUGAUUCUACAAGAAUGAACAUGGUGCAACUUUACGACAAAAACUUGAUUGCGAUUUCAAGCUGCAUAUAAAGCAAGCAAAGAAGCAGAAUUGGGUUCUAACUGACCAUAGUGCAGUGUCAUAGUGAACAUGUAGAAAGCUUCAUAGCUUCCAACUUCAUCCGGGUUCGAAAAUUAACAGCCUAUUGAAAAAAACAUGCCUAAUAUGCCACAAAAGUGAGAACCCUAUAGGCCUAGACUAAGGUCAUGCAACUGAAAGCUGCAAUAGAAGAAGCUGAAACCUAUACUAGAUGAUAAGAUAAAACCGAUAUACGAUUUGUACGAGCAACGGUAUAAACAAGUCAUCAAGUGAAAGCAUUACAAAUUG